UAGAAUUGAAAAUAAAAUAAACCACGAAUUACUUCAUCGAAAUUUAUUCCCUACAGAACUGUUUCGUAUGGCAGUUGUUUAACCCACACUCUGGGUUGAUUCCACUGGAAAUCGUACUUGCCAGUCUUGCUUACGAAUUACAAA
Long non-coding RNA from Xenia sp. Carnegie-2017, 144 nucleotides. RefSeq lists it as uncharacterized. NCBI's taxonomy places the organism in Eukaryota, Metazoa, Cnidaria, Anthozoa, Malacalcyonacea, Xeniidae. The record is from RefSeq and is a predicted model, not a curated record. The transcript is spliced from 3 exons.